GACGAACGCGGCGGCGCGCCUAAUACAUGCAAGUAGAACGCUGAAGGAGGAGCUUGCUUCUCUGGAUGAGUUGCGAACGGGUGAGUAACGCGUAGGUAACCUGCCUGGUAGCGGGGGAUAACUAUUGGAAACGAUAGCUAAUACCGCAUAAUAGUAGAUGUUGCAUGACAUUUGCUUAAAAGGUGCAAUUGCAUCACUACCAGAUGGACCUGCGUUGUAUUAGCUAGUUGGUGAGGUAACGGCUCACCAAGGCGACGAUACAUAGCCGACCUGAGAGGGUGAUCGGCCACACUGGGACUGAGACACGGCCCAGACUCCUACGGGAGGCAGCAGUAGGGAAUCUUCGGCAAUGGGGGGAACCCUGACCGAGCAACGCCGCGUGAGUGAAGAAGGUUUUCGGAUCGUAAAGCUCUGUUGUAAGAAAGAACGAGUGUGAGAGUGGAAAGUUUCACACUGUGACGGUAUCUACCA
Molecule: ribosomal RNA, 471 nt
Filed under: Streptococcus mitis
Lineage: Bacteria; Bacillati; Bacillota; Bacilli; Lactobacillales; Streptococcaceae
Description: bacterial SSU rRNA
Rfam family: Bacterial small subunit ribosomal RNA
Source: RNAcentral